GCCAUUCUAGUAUAGUGGUUAGUACAGCUCGUUGUGGCCGAGCAGACCCAGGUUCGAUUCCCGGGAAUGGCA
Molecule: non-coding RNA, 72 nt
Organism: Zygosaccharomyces rouxii
Lineage: Eukaryota; Fungi; Ascomycota; Saccharomycetes; Saccharomycetales; Saccharomycetaceae
Source: Rfam